CGCUCUUCUUCGAUGGUUUGCGGCAGCGCUAUAAAUGCUGGCGCGCUACUGUGCGCGCUCUCUCAGUUCUGCGAUGGUUCAGCGGGAGUGCGCUAGAGCUUACAAAAAUGAGAAAGUCAGGCGGUUACAAGAAGGUCACACAAGACCCCAAAAUGCCUCGAUCCCAACGGCCAGUACUGCUGAGGAUGAGGUAAAUAAGAUUGAGAAUUUGAAAGGUCCAUCGAGAUCAUCCUAUUGUGGGAAACAUGUGUGAAGAUCUUCAGAAAUCACGUUUUCUGUUCCAGCUUUUUUUUAAAUGUUAAAAGGGAUCAGUGCUCACUGUUAACAUUAUACAUAAAUGUAUUGUACAUGGUUACAAAUAUAAAAUCUUCCUUUAGUGGAGAUUCCUAGAACAGGGUUCUUCUUUUGUUCCUAGAGAGCCACUUUCCUAAAAUUAAUUUUUAUCAGAUUGGCGCUUAGUCAUCAUGGGAAUGACAUGCAGAUUGACAUAAAAAUAUCAAGGAUUUUUGCAUAAGGCUGCAACAAAAUGUGGAAAAUUAAGAGGUUUUGAAUGCACUGUUUAGGAUGUGUCCAUUCCUGCUUCUGGAGUGCCACUUUCAGCAGUUUAGCCCUAGCCCCAGUUAAACAUGCCUGAAUAAAGGUGUUCUGGAUCACUGGUCUUUCAAGCGUCUUUGGACCGCUCUUCUCUAGCAUUGUUUAAACAUGAGGCUGCUAUACGAAGACAAUGAAUGAGAUGUCUGAAAUGGUACAAUGUUUGAGUUGUCAGUUCUGUUAUUGUUUUUAAACACUGGACAAUAAAAAUGUAUGGAAGUGUUAAUUUGUCUGAAUACUUGAAACAAAGUUUUAAAACUUGCCCUGAGGUCUAGGUUUUUAAAUGAACCCACUAAAAAGCACUACCUGGGCCUCUCCUGUAUCAUCUUGUCUGCCAGGCCUCAGGUUUGAGGAAGAAUGAAGUGAAUACUGAGAGGAUGUCUCCCUCUACUGGAUUUACAACGUAACAAAAGGACAGUGGGAGAGGAUGGUUAUGCAUUUGUUCAUAUUUGAUCUGCUUUAGUCACUGUUUUGUGUAAUAUGGUUUUCACCUAAUGAUUGUCUCUGGACAAUGAGUUCUUAGCUGACUGUAUGUACACAAUAUGCCUGGUGUUUGAUCAGCUGUGCUGUAACUUGUAUUUAACCCUAUAAACUCUAAAAGUAGAUCAGUCCAAAAAUUAAAGUUUUAUUUUCUUUAUUAUUAUUAAACGUAGUGAAGCCUCUCCUUUCACGUCCAUUAAAAAAGGCUGCU
Cyprinus carpio carpio is the source of this 1282-nucleotide long non-coding RNA. Lineage: Eukaryota; Metazoa; Chordata; Actinopteri; Cypriniformes; Cyprinidae. The record is from Ensembl.